CUCUCUUGUUUACCUUCCAGGUUGACAUACUUCUUCAAGUUAUGAAAGAGUCUUUUCUGUUCUCGUAGAUCAGAUGAUGGCAACCUCUGUACCUUCCUGUAGUGUAUGUGAAUAUCGACAUAUCUUUAAACCAGCUUCCAUAUGGUGUUCGGAUUGCGACGAAGGCCUCUGUCUGGAUUGCAAGGAGCAUCAUGGGAUUUCCAAAGCAACAAGAAAGCACGGGAAUGGAACGAAUAAUGUUGUAGUUGUCGCACACGAUGGACAAAAACAUAGGGAACUCCUAUCUAUAAGAGAUGGAUUAACAUCGCCAUGUGCAAUUAACUUUGAACGUGCAACUAACCAUUUAUUAGUUGCAGCUGAUAAUUAUAAAGCAUAUCUGUACAAGGUAUCCACUAAUUAAGUAAAUAAACU
This is a long non-coding RNA of Mytilus californianus (California mussel), 411 nucleotides long. RefSeq lists it as uncharacterized. NCBI's taxonomy places the organism in Eukaryota, Metazoa, Mollusca, Bivalvia, Mytilida, Mytilidae. The record is from RefSeq and is a predicted model, not a curated record. The transcript is spliced from 3 exons.